UAACUCCAGCUCCAAGAGUGUAUAUUAAAGUUGUUGCGGUUAAAAAGCUCGUAGUUGGACUUGAGGGAUUUAUAUAAAGGGAUUCUAAUUUUAAAAUUAGAUAUUCUUAUAUAUUUUUUCCUUUCUUUGUAUUUUUUAAAGAUUAAUUUAAAUGGGGUUAAACUCAUUUUUUUUAUUCUGGGGAUAGAUAGUUUACUUUGAAAAAAUUAGAGUGUUUAAAGCAGACAUGAGACAUUAACCUUAAUUUUGUUGGUUUUGAAGGUUAAUAGUAAUGAUUAAAAGGGAUAGUUGGGGUCACUUGUAUUUGAUCGCUAGGGGUGAAAUCCUAUGAUUGAUCAAAGACAAACUACUGCGAAAGCAUUUGACAAGGAUGUUUUCAUUGAUCAAGAACGAAAGUUAGGGGAUCGAAGAUGAUUAGAUACCGUCGUAGUCUUAACCAUAAACAAUGUCGACUUUGGAUUAGGAAAUAUUACAUGGAUGAUUUUCCUAGCACAAUAUGAGAAAUCAUAAGUAUUCAGACUCCGGGGGGAGUAUGGUCGCAAGAGUGAAACUUAAAGGAAUUGACGGAAGGGCACCACCAGGAGUGGAACCUGCGGCUUAAUUUGACUCAACACGGGGAAACUUACCGGGUCCGGACACUUUGAGGAUUGACAGAUUGAUAGCUCUUUCUUGAUUAAGUGGGUGGUGGUGCAUGGCCGUUUUUAGUUGGUGGAUUGAUUUGUCUGGUUAAUUCCGAAAACGAACGAGACCUUAACCUAUUAAAUAGUAUAAUUAAAAUUGAAUACAAAUUCUUGAAAUUUGAAAAAAAAAGAAAUGGAUACUUCUUAAAGGGACUCUUCAUAUUUUAGUGAAUGGAAGUUUAAGGCAAAAACAGGUCUGUGAUGCCCUUAGAUGUUCCGGGCUGCACGCGCGUUACACUGAUGCGAUCAAAGAGUUUAAUUUAAAUUUCCUUAUUUGAAAAGAUUGGGUAAACUUUAAAAUCGUAUCGUGAUUGGGAUAGUGCUUUGUAAUUAUCGCACUUGAACGAGGAAUUCCUAGUAGGUGCAAGUCAUCAUCUUGCUCCGAUUACGUCCCCGCCCUUUGUACACACCGCCCGUCGCUCCUACCGAUUGAAUAAUCCGAUGAGGAUUCAA
This 1133-nucleotide ribosomal RNA is filed under the name uncultured soil eukaryote. Its description in RNAcentral is "SSU rRNA". It matches the Rfam family "Eukaryotic small subunit ribosomal RNA", at positions 580 to 1712 of the family's 1831-position model. The record is from RNAcentral.